GACGAACGCUGGCGGCGUGCUUAACACAUGCAAGUCGAACGGAAAGGCCCUGCUUUUGUGGGGUGCUCGAGUGGCGAACGGGUGAGUAACACGUGAGUAACCUGCCCUUGACUUUGGGAUAACUUCAGGAAACUGGGGCUAAUACCGGAUAGGAGCUCCUGCUGCAUGGUGGGGGUUGGAAAGUUUCGGCGGUUGGGGAUGGACUCGCGGCUUAUCAGCUUGUUGGUGGGGUAGUGGCUUACCAAGGCUUUGACGGGUAGCCGGCCUGAGAGGGUGACCGGCCACAUUGGGACUGAGAUACGGCCCAGACGCCGAAGGGAGGAAGCAGUGGGGAAUAUGGCACAAUGGGCGGAAGCCUGAUGCAGCAACGACGCGGGCGGGAUGACGGCCUUCGGGUUGUAAACCGCGUUCGCCUGUGACGAAGCGUGAGUGACGGUAAUGGGUAAAGAAGCACCGGCUAACUACGUG
RNAcentral lists this ribosomal RNA (468 nucleotides) under uncultured bacterium. RNAcentral describes it as "partial 16S ribosomal RNA". It matches the Rfam family "Bacterial small subunit ribosomal RNA", at positions 28 to 507 of the family's 1533-position model. The record is from RNAcentral.